Molecule: long non-coding RNA, 1004 nt
Organism: Portunus trituberculatus (swimming crab)
Lineage: Eukaryota; Metazoa; Arthropoda; Malacostraca; Decapoda; Portunidae
Exons: 3
Source: RefSeq, a predicted model, not a curated record
GGGGAAUUUUGAAGUGUUUUAUGGUGUUUUAGAUUAGUUGUAAGGGUUUUAAGUGGUCUGUGCGUGUGUGUGGAGUGUCUUGGGAGUGUGUGGGUAUGAUUUUGGUGUGGUGGGUGUUUUAAGUGGCCUGUGCGUAUGUCUGGAGUGUCUUGGGAGUGUGUGGGGAUGAUUUUGGUGUGUGCUGUUUGUUUUAAGUGGUCUGUGCAUGUGUGUAGAGUGUCUUGGUAGUGUGUGGGGAUGAUAUUGGUUUAUGUUAGGUGUUUCUAAUUGAGUUAUGGGUUUAUUUGUUAAUAUUUUGAAGUGUUGCAUAGUGUUUUGGGUUAACGUACUCACUUACUUUUGUUAGUGUUGUAUAAUUUCAUGGUAUGAUGGACGCAGCUGAGGUGGGCCUCCGCUGUGGCCAGGCAGUUCAGCCUUGGCGUCAACCCUCUAUGUGAUGAGUGAGAUGCCGGUUGAGCUGGAGUGUCCUGGUAUUGGGGGCUCUUCUGGUAUUGUAGACAACCAUCUGUGUAACCUUUUCGUGAAGAGGUCCGGUGUGACCUGUCCGGUUCCUGAUGGUGUCCGGCACAGCGUUGAAGAGGUCCGCAGAAAACGACACGCCAAUUUAUUUGAAGUCAAGGACGGAGAUUAAAACGGCCUUGAAAAACACCACACCCGUUUCGUCCACCGCCAUCACCACCUCCUAGAUCAAGGACAAAGUGUAUUACAGACUCACACAUAAGGAAGAGGCCAUGAGGGAGGCGGUGGAGGUGUGGGGGGGUUCAGCACGCUAUCAGUUCAUGCCUGGGAUGGGACACACUGGGACAGCGUCGGACCGUUGGUGAGAGCAAGACAAGGCUGUGACAAUUCUGCAGAGGUUUGCCACUCAGACCUGUUGCCAUGUUACUAUUAUUGCACAUCCUAAGAAGGUGUGUGUAUGUGUGCAUAUGUGUGUUUACCUAGUUGUAUUUACCUAGUAGUAUUGUACAGGGUUUGAGCGGGCCUCAUAGCGUCCUGUCUCCAUG